RNAcentral lists this ribosomal RNA (483 nucleotides) under uncultured bacterium. Its description in RNAcentral is "partial 16S ribosomal RNA". It matches the Rfam family "Bacterial small subunit ribosomal RNA", at positions 30 to 507 of the family's 1533-position model. The record is from RNAcentral.
AUUGAACGCUGCGGCAGGCCUAACACCUGCAAGUCGAGCGGAUGAAGGGAGCUUGCUCCUGGAUUCAGCGGCGGACGGGUGAGUAAUGCCUAGGAAUCUGCCUGGUAGUGGGGGAUAACGUCCGGAAACGGGCGCUAAUACCGCAUACGUCCUGAGGGAGAAAGUGGGGGAUCUUCGGACCUCACGCUAUCAGAUGAGCCUAGGUCGGAUUAGCUAGUUGGUGGGGUAAAGGCCUACCAAGGCGACGAUCCGUAACUGGUCUGAGAGGAUGAUCAGUCACACUGGAACUGAGACACGGUCCAGACUCCUACGGGAGGCAGCAGUGGGGAAUAUUGGACAAUGGGCGAAAGCCUGAUCCAGCCAUGCCGCGUGUGUGAAGAAGGUCUUCGGAUUGUAAAGCACUUUAAGUUGGGAGGAAGGGCAGUAAGUUAAUACCUUGCUGUUUUGACGUUACCAACAGAAUAAGCACCGGCUAACUUCGUG